AAGUCGUAACAAGGUUUCCGUAGGUGAACCUGCGGAAGGAUCAUUCACAAUGAGUGUUUAAUGGCACUCUAAAUCCAUUACCCACCUUGUGUGCAAUGUCGAGGGGGGAGAGGAGGGUAACACUCUUUUCUUCUCCCCCUUUUCAUACAUACCAAAAAACUUUCAAUAUCAGUCUACAUCUAUUUAGAGUAUAAAAAACUCGAAAUACAACUUUCAACAACGGAUCUCUUGGCUCUC
This 237-nucleotide unclassified non-coding RNA is filed under the name fungal sp. RNAcentral's name for it is "partial internal transcribed spacer region". The stretch from base 1 to 46 matches the Rfam family "Eukaryotic small subunit ribosomal RNA", at positions 1786 to 1831 of the family's 1831-position model. Lineage: Eukaryota; Fungi. The record is from RNAcentral.